Molecule: transfer RNA, 71 nt
Filed under: Thrips palmi
Lineage: Eukaryota; Metazoa; Arthropoda; Insecta; Thysanoptera; Thripidae
Description: tRNA-Thr
Rfam family: tRNA
About the family: Transfer RNA (tRNA) molecules are approximately 80 nucleotides in length. Their secondary structure includes four short double-helical elements and three loops (D, anti-codon, and T loops).
Source: Rfam by way of RNAcentral
GCCCCCAUGGCUCAGUGGUUAGACACCGGUCUCGUAAACCGGGGGCGAGAGUUCGAAUCUCUCUGGGGGCA